Homo sapiens (human) is the source of this 825-nucleotide long non-coding RNA. Ensembl annotates it as long intergenic non-protein coding RNA 1884. The record is from Ensembl. Lineage: Eukaryota; Metazoa; Chordata; Mammalia; Primates; Hominidae.
ACUUGCCUGGUGACUUCUAUCAGAAUCUCUGUGUAUAAUUCUGAAAGAGGCAACAGACACCUGAGCCAUGUACUCCUCCUGAUGGAUCGCAGGAGCAUAAGAUGGUAAGCCGAAACACAGAAUACAUCACAAAGCCCAUCCUUGAAACUAGGACAAUGUCCAUCAGCUACAAGCCCUAUGAUUAAGUCCAUCAAAGGUGAAGUAGAUGGAACUCCAUAUAGACAAAAAUAAAGGUGACAGAGAACUUCUGGGGAGCAGUGCAGAGUGAAAAAAACCAGCACCCAUGACUUCCUCAUGUGGAAUUCUGGGCUGAUGCUCCAUCUGACUCCAGCACUUCUCACAAAACUGGGACAACUAACUGUUUAUCCAACAUCUGCUGGCUAAAUAAAGACAUGAUCUUCACCUUUUGGGAUUGUUAAUUUAAAAUGGUUCCAUAAGAGCAAUGCAAAGACAGAGAUAUUUGGCAGCACUGCAGCUGGUGAUUUAUAUGGCUCUUCACAAGGUGUUAUUUUGGGGUAUCAAGGUAUGGAUGCUUAAAUCAGCUGCAGGAAGUAAGAAAGAAGAAAAAAGGAGUGAUAAAGAUAAAAAAAAAUCAACCUUGGUCCUUCCACCAAGACCCAUUAAUUUCCAUAUCAUCAUCUGCAUAAGAGGGAAGAUUCCUACAUGACCAGAUCCUACUUACUGGUACACCCAUCAACAAAAAACAAACCCAAAAUGGAGAAGAGAAGAGGAUAUAUUAACCAUUACAUAUUUUAUAAACACUACAAACCCUGGCAAGUAACAUUUGUGAAAUUAGUGAAUGAAUGAAUUAAUAAAUGAACAUAA